Non-coding RNA from Podarcis lilfordi (Lilford's wall lizard), 72 nucleotides. Lineage: Eukaryota; Metazoa; Chordata; Lepidosauria; Squamata; Lacertidae. The record is from the annotation of a GenBank genome assembly.
GCCGUAGCUCAGUAGUAGAGCAUCCGUCUUGUGUGCAGAAGGUCCCAGGUUCAAUCCCAGAGGACAUCUCCA